CCUACGGGCGGCUGCAGUGGGGAAUUUUUCGCAAUGGGCGCAAGCCUGACGAAGCAACGCCGCGUGGAGGAUGAAGGUCUUCGGAUUGUAAACUCCUGUCGACCGGGACGAAUGCACUCGACCUAAUACGUCGGAAUGUUGACGGUACCGGUGGAGGAAGCCACGGCUAACUCUGUGCCAGCAGCCGCGGUAAUACAGAGGUGGCAAGCGUUGUGCGGAAUUACUGUGGGUAAAGUUGGCGGUCGCGGGCGACAGCCCUCGGCUUAACUGAGGAUCUGCACGGGAUACUGCGAGGCUUGAGUUCGGGAGAGGAAAGCGGAAUUCCGGGUGUAGCGGUGAAAUGCGUAGAUAUCCGGAGGAACACCAGUGGCGAAGGCGGCUUUCUGGACCGACACUGACGCUGAGGCGCGAAAGCUAGGGGAGCAAACGGGAUUAGAUACCCUAGUAGUC
RNAcentral lists this ribosomal RNA (450 nucleotides) under uncultured bacterium. RNAcentral's name for it is "partial 16S ribosomal RNA". It matches the Rfam family "Bacterial small subunit ribosomal RNA", at positions 338 to 795 of the family's 1533-position model. The record is from RNAcentral.